GACGAACGCUGGCGGCGUGCUUAACACAUGCAAGUCGAACGGAAAGGCCCUGCAUUUGUGGGGUGCUCGAGUGGCGAACGGGUGAGUAACACGUGAGUAACCUGCCCUUGACUUUGGGAUAACUUCAGGAAACUGGGGCUAAUACCGGAUAGGAGCUCCUGCUGCAUGGUGGGGGUUGGAAAGUUUCGGCGGUUGGGGAUGGACUCGCGGCUUAUCAGCUUGUUGGUGGGGUAGUGGCUUACCAAGGCUUUGACGGGUAGCCGGCCUGAGAGGGUGACCGGCCACAUUGGGACUGAGAUACGGCCCAGACUCCUACGGGAGGAAGCAGUGGGGAAUAUUGCACAAUGGGCGGAAGCCUGAUGCAGCAACGCCGCGUGCGGGAUGACGGCCUUCGGGUUGUAAACCGCUUGCGCCUGUGACGAAGCGUGAGUGACGGUAAUGGGUAAAGAAGCACCGGCUAACUACGUG
This 468-nucleotide ribosomal RNA is filed under the name uncultured bacterium. RNAcentral's name for it is "partial 16S ribosomal RNA". It matches the Rfam family "Bacterial small subunit ribosomal RNA", at positions 28 to 507 of the family's 1533-position model. The record is from RNAcentral.